UACGUAGGGGGCAAGCGUUGUCCGGAUUUAUUGGGCGUAAGAGCGUGUAGGCGGCUAGGUAGGGCCGUUGGGAAAACUCGAGGCUCAACCUCGAGACGCCGGUGGAAACCAUCUAGCUAGAGUCCGGAAGAGGAGAGUGGAAUUCCUGGUGUAGCGGUGAAAUGCGCAGAUAUCAGGAAGAACACCCGUGGCGAAGGCGGCUCUCUGGGACGUGACUGACGCUGAGACGCGAAAGCGUGGGGAGCGAACAGG
This 252-nucleotide ribosomal RNA is filed under the name uncultured bacterium. Its description in RNAcentral is "partial 16S ribosomal RNA". It matches the Rfam family "Bacterial small subunit ribosomal RNA", at positions 524 to 776 of the family's 1533-position model. The record is from RNAcentral.